UGUGCUUCCCUCAGAGCCCUGAGUACAGACAGGAGGAAGGAAGCAAAUGAAGAGAUGCCAGGGGGCAGGAGAGCACCUCAAAGGCAUCACUGUUCAGGGUCAGGGUUGGAAGCCAGUCCAAAGCUGGGAGAAGACCGGAGCCCUUCUGCCUACCCAGGGUCACGUCAGACCCUCUUCUCGGUGCACGUGCCCGCCUCACUCCUAAUAGAGGAUAUAAGGCUUCUUGGUAUUUUGUCUGACUCUCAGAAUAAAAUAGAUGUCUGUGAAA
RNAcentral lists this long non-coding RNA (268 nucleotides) under Rattus norvegicus (Norway rat). RNAcentral describes it as "long non-coding RNA NONRATT028284". The record is from RNAcentral. Lineage: Eukaryota; Metazoa; Chordata; Mammalia; Rodentia; Muridae.